Long non-coding RNA from Drosophila miranda, 477 nucleotides. RefSeq lists it as uncharacterized. The transcript is spliced from 2 exons. The record is from RefSeq and is a predicted model, not a curated record. Lineage: Eukaryota; Metazoa; Arthropoda; Insecta; Diptera; Drosophilidae.
GGCAGCAAAAUUUUGGCUGCACGUUCAACAUAUUUAAUACAGUUCAACCGGGUUUGGCUUUGGCUUUGGCAUGGCUCGACCUGGUCGGGUCUGCUCUGAGGGCUCUUGACACACAUCCGCCUUAUCAGGGCCUUAUCAGCUGGGGGGAGGAGAACCUAAACACAGACAGACCUAGACGGAGACAGAGACAAAGAGUAAGUAGCAAUCAAUGUCAGGGCGCAGUUUCAGUUGAGUUCAGCAUCUCUCAGAGAAAUGUUCGCCGCAAUGAAUCUCUGGCUUAUUCUGUUUUUGAUUGGCCUGAUCCAAGGCCGCUCCAUUAUGCGAGACAGCCAGGAGUGGCCGACAACCCACCCAGAUCCCACCAUCUUUGAGUACCCGCCGACCGAAAAUCAGGAGCUCUUUUUAGAUUAAUCGUUUUUAAUGUGAAUUAUAAUUAAAUAAAAUAAAUUUCGAUGGUUUGAUCUAUCAAAUUCCUUA